This 226-nucleotide ribosomal RNA is filed under the name Clostridioides difficile. RNAcentral describes it as "partial 16S ribosomal RNA". It matches the Rfam family "Bacterial small subunit ribosomal RNA", at positions 117 to 343 of the family's 1533-position model. The record is from RNAcentral. Lineage: Bacteria; Bacillati; Bacillota; Clostridia; Peptostreptococcales; Peptostreptococcaceae.
GUGGGUAACCUACCCUGUACACACGGAUAACAUACCGAAAGGUAUGCUAAUACGGGAUAAUAUAUUUGAGAGGCAUCUCUUAAAUAACAAAGGUGAGCUAGUACAGGAUGGACCCGCGUCUGAUUAGUUAGUUGGUAAGGUAACGGCUUACCAAGGCGACGAUCAGUAGCCGACCUGAGAGGGUGAUCGGCCACAUUGGAACUGAGACACGGUCCAAACUCCUACG